RNAcentral lists this ribosomal RNA (362 nucleotides) under uncultured bacterium. RNAcentral describes it as "bacterial SSU rRNA". It matches the Rfam family "Bacterial small subunit ribosomal RNA", at positions 28 to 389 of the family's 1533-position model. The record is from RNAcentral.
GAUGAACGCUAGCGGGAGGCUUAACACAUGCAAGUCGAAGGGCAGCACGUCUUCGGAUGGUGGCGACUGGCGAACGGGUGCGUAACGCGUAUGCAACCUACCCUCAACAGGGGAAUAGCCCAGAGAAAUUUGGAUUAAUACCCCAUAGUAUUACAGAUUCGCAUGUUUCUGUGAUUAAAGUUCCAACGGUUGAGGAUGGGCAUGCGUGACAUUAGCUUGUUGGUGAGGUAACGGCUCACCAAGGCAACGAUGUCUAGGGGUUCUGAGAGGAUGAUCCCCCACACUGGUACUGAGACACGGACCAGACUCCUACGGGAGGGCAGCAGUGAGGAAUAUUGGACAAUGGAGGGCAACUCUGAACC